GAAUCUUCCGCAAUGGGCGAAAGCCUGACGGAGCAACGCCGCGUGAGUGAUGAAGGCCUUCGGGUCGUAAAGCUCUGUCUUCAGUGACGAACGAGACGGCAACUGAGGAGGAAGCCACGGCAAACUACGUGCCAGCAGCCGCGGUAAUACGUAGGUGGCGAGCGUUGUCCGGAAUUACUGGGCGUAAAGCGCGCGUAGACGGCUUAGUAAGUCAGAUGUGAAAGACCCGGGCUCAACCUGGGGGCCGCAUCUGAGACUGUUGAGCUUGAGUGCAGGCGAGGCAAGUGGAAUUCCCAGUGUAGCAGUGAAAUGCGUAGAGAUUGGGAGGAACACCAGUGGCGAAGGCGACUUGCUGGACUGUAACUGACGUUGAGGUGCGAAAGCUAGGGGAGCAAACGG
Molecule: ribosomal RNA, 399 nt
Filed under: uncultured bacterium
Lineage: Bacteria
Description: partial 16S ribosomal RNA
Rfam family: Bacterial small subunit ribosomal RNA
Source: RNAcentral